Triticum aestivum (bread wheat) is the source of this 135-nucleotide non-coding RNA. NCBI's taxonomy places the organism in Eukaryota, Viridiplantae, Streptophyta, Magnoliopsida, Poales, Poaceae. The record is from Rfam.
UUAAUACUUCCUCCAUCCAAAAAUAGUUGUGAUCAAAACAGAUAGAAAAAGAUGUAUCUAGAACUAAAAUACAUCUAGAUACAUCCUCCUUUAUUCAUUUUGGUGACAACUAUUUCGAGACGGAGGUAGUAGUAA